CCUACGGGUGGCAGCAGUGAGGAAUAUUGGUCAAUGGGCGGGAGCCUGAACCAGCCAAGCCGCGUGAGGGAAGAAGGUACAGCGUAUCGUAAACCUCUUUUGUCAGGGAACAAAACCGGGGACUAGUCCCCGGAUGUGUGUACCUGAAGAAUAAGCAUCGGCUAACUCCGUGCCAGCAGCCGCGGUAAUACGGAGGAUCCGAGCGUUAUCCGGAUUUAUUGGGUUUAAAGGGGGCGCAGGGGGCAGGUUAAGUCAGGUGUAAAAGGCCGGGGGCCAACCGCAGAAAUGCCGUUGAAACUGGCGGGCUGGAGUAGAGGAGAGGUACGCGGAAUGCGCGGUGUAGCGGUGAAAUGCUUAGAUAUCGCGAAGAACACCGAUUGCGAAGGCAGCGUACCGGAU
This 399-nucleotide ribosomal RNA is filed under the name uncultured bacterium. Its description in RNAcentral is "partial 16S ribosomal RNA". It matches the Rfam family "Bacterial small subunit ribosomal RNA", at positions 338 to 734 of the family's 1533-position model. The record is from RNAcentral.